AUAAAAAUAAGCUAAAAAAGCUAAUGGGUUCAUACCUCAUUUAUAAGAGUAAAAUCUCUUUUUUUAUA
Molecule: transfer RNA, 68 nt
Filed under: Homidia koreana
Lineage: Eukaryota; Metazoa; Arthropoda; Collembola; Entomobryomorpha; Entomobryidae
Description: tRNA-Met
Source: RNAcentral